AAAAAAUUAGUUAAAUAAUAACAUUAGUUUGUCAUACUAAAAUCAUCAAUCAUUGAUAUUUUUUA
RNAcentral lists this transfer RNA (65 nucleotides) under Semisuturia sp. LRC-2002. Its description in RNAcentral is "tRNA-Asp". Lineage: Eukaryota; Metazoa; Arthropoda; Insecta; Diptera; Tachinidae. The record is from RNAcentral.